CAAUGAUGCUAGUCGGUCUAAAAGUUCCAAGCAUUCAAAAUCUACUCCAAAACAGAAGUUCCAUGAUCGAAAUCGGCAAUGGAAUAACUUUCCAACAUCGAUGUCGUUUUUAUCACAUGGAUCAUUCAUGCCUAUGCAACGGGGCCUUACUAUAAUAUGCCAAUGGCCUUCUCAUAAUUCAUGGAUGUGGUCUCCUCCUAGAUAAUUUUCUCCGG
This 215-nucleotide long non-coding RNA is filed under the name Setaria viridis. RNAcentral describes it as "long non-coding RNA (SVIR_LNC005250)". Lineage: Eukaryota; Viridiplantae; Streptophyta; Magnoliopsida; Poales; Poaceae. The record is from RNAcentral.